UACCUACUUGUACUCAUCACCUCCUCCUCCCAAGAAGCCCUAUUAUUAUCACUCUCCUCCACCACCUUCACCUCCUCCACCUAAGCCAUACUACUAUCAUUCACCACCACCACCUUCACCUCCUCCACCCAAGCCAUACUACUAUCACUCACCACCACCACCUUCACCUCCUCCACCUAAACCAUACUACUAUCACUCACCACCACCACCUUCACCUCCUCCACCUAAACCAUACUACUAUCACUCACCACCACCACCUUCACCUCCUCCACCUAAACCAUACUACUAUCACUCACCACCACCACCUUCACCUCCUCCACCUAAGUCAUAUUACUAUCACUCACCACCACCACCACCCAAAAAGAAGCCAUACUACUACCAUUCUCCCCCACCACCUUCACCACCUCCUCCUAAGCCAUACUACUAUCACUCUCCCCCACCGCCUUCACCUCCUCCACCUACGCCAUACUACUAUCAUUCUCCCCCACCACCCUCACCACCUCCACCUAAGCCAUACUACUACCAUUCACCACCACCCCCACCGAAGAAGAAGCCUUACUACUACCACUCUCCACCACCACCUUCACCUCCUCCUCCAAAGAAGCCAUACUACUACCACUCCCCACCUCCUCCCAAGAAGCCCUACAAAUAUUCAUCUCCCCCACCUCCAGUGCACCCUUACCCUCAUCCUCACCCCCAUCCCCAUCCACACCCCCACCCUCACCCUCCCUACGUUUACAAAUCUCCUCCCCCACCCCCUAAGAAGCCAUACAAGUACCCAUCCCCACCACCUCCAGUCCACGUUUACCCUCACCCUCACCCGCAUCCACACCCUCACCCUCAACCUCACCCC
Molecule: long non-coding RNA, 853 nt
Filed under: Phaseolus vulgaris (common bean)
Lineage: Eukaryota; Viridiplantae; Streptophyta; Magnoliopsida; Fabales; Fabaceae
Description: long non-coding RNA (PVUL_LNC002044)
Source: RNAcentral